UAACAUUUGAACGCAAAUGGUAAUAUGAGACGAUGCAAGUCCAGACUGACACAUGGAAUUCUAAAACAUGCAAAGGUGUCAAAACAAUAUCACUUGUUAAUUAAAAGAUUAAAUACACAAAUUCGUGCCUUAUAAGGAUAUUCAUAAACGCCGAUUUAUUAAAAGAGUACGACGCUGGAUGCCACGUUUAUUGACAUAACCCGAAACUAAUGCCCGUGAGGUAGUCAAACCUGUUUUUAACAGAAUACAUAACACGACUAAUUAAUAUAAGGUGCUGCCUCAAAGCGAAAGUACAUCUGAAACCGUUUGCAUCAAUUCUUUGCAGAAUCUUCAAAGAUUAUCUAUUAGCUAAGUCACCAUUAGUCAACUUUGGUAAGUUUAAUUUUAUUCUUCUUAUAAUAUUUAACUCUUUCCCGACAACCGGUUUCGUAUUACAUUUCGAUACAAUUUUUCUAAUAUAAAUAUCUCCACGAGUAUUUACCCCCCUUUUAAAUAAAUGCCACCAUUGAAAUCCUCAUAAAAUAACCUUUCGAACGGGGUGUCAAGUGCCGUCAAAACAUUACACAAAGCGAAACAAUCAUAUAUUCACUCACCGCUUGGCCAAAGAUUCUAAAUUUCAUAUCCACAAGAUCUUGAAUACCCCUUGAACUUUUCGUCAUUUGCUGAACGGCUAUACGUGUAAAAUACUCUCUGUAUUCAAGCGCUUUCGUGUAGAAAGUUUCGUAUGUAUACGCAGACUAGAAAUAUUUAUUUUGAAUUUUUCAAGAUAUCGGGUUUUACUCGCACUU
Molecule: non-coding RNA, 788 nt
Organism: Paramuricea clavata
Lineage: Eukaryota; Metazoa; Cnidaria; Anthozoa; Malacalcyonacea; Plexauridae
Source: the annotation of a GenBank genome assembly